This 323-nucleotide ribosomal RNA is filed under the name Sandonidae sp. RNAcentral describes it as "SSU rRNA". It matches the Rfam family "Eukaryotic small subunit ribosomal RNA", at positions 626 to 955 of the family's 1831-position model. RNAcentral also lists the same sequence under 1 other name. Lineage: Eukaryota; Cercozoa; Glissomonadida; Sandonidae. The record is from RNAcentral.
GAUUUCUGGCGGAUCGAACUUGGCCGGCCACGGUUUCGUGUGUUAGUGCUUUGUUUUUUCGCCAUCCUUCCAAUGGCUAUUCAUCCUUCUUCAUUGAGGUGGUGAGUGGUAUUGGAUCUUUUACUUUGAAAAAAUUAGAGUGUUUCAAGCAGGCUUUAUGCUAUGAAUACAUUAGCAUGGAAUAAUAAUUUAGGACUUCGGUUCUAUUUUGUUGGUUUCUAGGACUGAAGUAAUGAUUGAUAGGGAUAGUUGGGGGUGCUAGUAUUCAGCGGCCAGAGGUGAAAUUCUCGGAUUCGCUGAAGACUAACUUAUGCGAAAGCAUU